CCUACGGGUGGCAGCAGUGGGGAAUAUUGGACAAUGGGGGCAACCCUGAUCCAGCCAUGCCGCGUGUGUGAAGAAGGCCCUCGGGUUGUAAAGCACUUUCAGUGAGGAAGAACGCCUGGUGGUUAAUACCCAUCAGGAAAGACAUCACUCACAGAAGAAGCACCGGCUAACUCCGUGCCAGCAGCCGCGGUAAUACGGAGGGUGCGAGCGUUAAUCGGAAUUACUGGGCGUAAAGCGCGCGUAGGUGACUUGAUAAGCCGGUUGUGAAAGCCCCGGGCUCAACCUGGGAACGGCAUCCGGAACUGUCAAGCUAGAGUGCAGGAGAGGAAGGUAGAAUUCCCGGUGUAGCGGUGAAAUGCGUAGAGAUCGGGAGGAAUACCAGUGGCGAAGGCGGCCUUCUGGACUGACACUGACACUGAGGUGCGAAAGCGUGGGUAGCAAACAGGAUUAGAUACCCUAGUAGUC
RNAcentral lists this ribosomal RNA (465 nucleotides) under Vreelandella stevensii. RNAcentral's name for it is "partial 16S ribosomal RNA". It matches the Rfam family "Bacterial small subunit ribosomal RNA", at positions 338 to 795 of the family's 1533-position model. Lineage: Bacteria; Pseudomonadati; Pseudomonadota; Gammaproteobacteria; Oceanospirillales; Halomonadaceae. The record is from RNAcentral.